RNAcentral lists this long non-coding RNA (348 nucleotides) under Phoenix dactylifera (date palm). RNAcentral describes it as "long non-coding RNA (PDAC_LNC002388)". Lineage: Eukaryota; Viridiplantae; Streptophyta; Magnoliopsida; Arecales; Arecaceae. The record is from RNAcentral.
AACCCCAUUUAAUAUGAAAGCGAAUGAGGUUCAUAAUUAUGAGUUAAUGAUUAGAGAUCAAGAUUAUAAACAUUUCCCAAUAAAGCCAUAAUAAAGAUGUUAGUAAAAGGAGGGAAAUCCAAGGAUCAAAGAGGAUGACUCUAUUGGAUGAGCCAAGAUUUUGAGCAACAAAUAAUCGAUGCAAUAAGCAUUCAUCCAUAUAUUUUUCUAAUGUUAAAGAUAGUAUUGCAACUCGAAUAAUGACAUGGCUAGCUUCCAACUGCGGGUCACAGUUUCGGCAAUUUGGUACCUUGGCACUGAAAAUGAAAUUCCUAUGCAAAUGAACCUUGUCACAAAUUAGCCCCAUCA